ACGCAGCCCGACUUGAGCGGAGCUCAUUUUUUGCUUGGAUUUAACGUAGGCAAAAAAUAGCGGGAGCGGAAGGCGGAUCAAGC
Molecule: unclassified non-coding RNA, 83 nt
Filed under: Epilithonimonas hungarica
Lineage: Bacteria; Pseudomonadati; Bacteroidota; Flavobacteriia; Flavobacteriales; Weeksellaceae
Description: Chryseobacterium hungaricum Flavo-1 RNA
Source: RNAcentral